UCGCCGCUCCCUCCCAUUUCAUUUCUAUAAUAAUGCAAGCAGACUAUUAUGCACAUAAUUUUACCAAUUUCCUCAACCAUUCAUGGACGUUUCAUCACGAAAUCGGGACACGGUCACUCUUUUGCUGGUACUAUAUACAAUCACAAUCCUAUACAUUCAACACGUGAAUGGGCAGCAAAUUGGUAAUUCAUCCGGAAAUGUUGUCAGGGUC
Molecule: long non-coding RNA, 211 nt
Organism: Gordionus sp. m RMFG-2023
Lineage: Eukaryota; Metazoa; Nematomorpha; Gordioida; Chordodea; Parachordodidae
Exons: 3
Source: RefSeq, a predicted model, not a curated record